Molecule: long non-coding RNA, 673 nt
Organism: Bubalus bubalis (water buffalo)
Lineage: Eukaryota; Metazoa; Chordata; Mammalia; Artiodactyla; Bovidae
Exons: 3
Source: RefSeq, a predicted model, not a curated record
ACACGCAUUCUACCGAGACACUGUGUUUUGUGGGAAAAUGAUCACCCAGGUGGAAAUCAGAGUGCUCUGGGGAAGUGGGAGUGAAGGCAGCCUUCCAGUAUCCACUACCGAGAGCAAAAACAUGAUCAUAUCAGUGGCAUCAAAGCCCAUGAACACGCUGAAGAUCCAGGAAAGCCUUGGUGUGAACCCCAGUCCAAGUGUGAAGCCAGAAAACAAGGAGCAUCAGUGUCCGAGGGCAGAGGAGGAUGGAGGUCUCAGCUCGAGAAGGAAGAGAGGGUAUUUAGCCUUCCUCUGCCUUUUGUGUUCAGCCCCUCAAUGAGUUGGAUAAUGCCCACCUGUACUGAGUCCAGCUCCCCUGCAGAUUGUAGCCAGCACCCGGAUUUUCAAGGGGUAAAAUUUAUUUGUAAAACAUUUUGAACUCUCUGGAGGCUGGACAUUAAAAGUAAUAAUGUUUAUCUGUUUAAUCUGUGGGCUAGCCACUUGCAGGGUGUUUUGUAACAAAAAGAGCAUAUUGAGUAGGAGGCUUUUUAAACUAGUUCCUAAGAGUAACUCCUACAACUGCUCAGAGUCUCAACUACCCAGCUAGCAAUCUGUGCCUUUUAAAGAACCACUUUGAAGUCCCUUGGUGAUAUUAACAUCACAAGUGAACCUAUAUAUGUAAACAUAUGUUGUU